UAAGUCCAAUUACGAUUGCUUAACAUAGCGCUGAAUUUGCCUUAUGGCACACUAACUACUAACAUUGACUAUUAACAUUUAAUUCUUGCCUUUACUUUUAUGCAAUUUACUAUUCUUGCACAUAUUAUUCAUUUUCUUUUCCUUUUGCUCACUUAGGCACAUGUUUAUGUUAAUGCAAUUUUCCUUUUGCUCAAUUGAGCACAUAAUUGUGUGUAUACUAUUGUGCUUGUGUUUUCUUUUGAUUGUUGUGGACCAAAAUGGAAAGAAGUGGACAAAAUGGAC
Molecule: long non-coding RNA, 282 nt
Filed under: Lathyrus oleraceus (garden pea)
Lineage: Eukaryota; Viridiplantae; Streptophyta; Magnoliopsida; Fabales; Fabaceae
Description: Pisum sativum (pea) long non-coding RNA (PSAT_LNC032583)
Source: RNAcentral